GCUUCUGUAGUGUAGCGGUUAUCACUCAAGAUUCUGAUAUGUGAAUUCUUGAAACCCAGGUUCGAUUCCUGGCAGGAGCU
RNAcentral lists this transfer RNA (80 nucleotides) under Hydnomerulius pinastri MD-312. It matches the Rfam family "tRNA". Rfam says of the family: Transfer RNA (tRNA) molecules are approximately 80 nucleotides in length. Their secondary structure includes four short double-helical elements and three loops (D, anti-codon, and T loops). The record is from Rfam by way of RNAcentral. Lineage: Eukaryota; Fungi; Basidiomycota; Agaricomycetes; Boletales.